RNAcentral lists this ribosomal RNA (271 nucleotides) under uncultured bacterium. RNAcentral describes it as "partial 16S ribosomal RNA". It matches the Rfam family "Bacterial small subunit ribosomal RNA", at positions 524 to 794 of the family's 1533-position model. The record is from RNAcentral.
UACGGAGGGUGCAAGCGUUGUUCGGAAUUAUUGGGCGUAAAGCGCGUGUAGGCGGUUUUUUAAGUCUGAUGUGAAAGCCCCGGGCUCAACCUGGGAAGUGCAUUGGAUACUGGAAGACUUGAGUACGGGAGAGGGUAGUGGAAUUCCUCGUGUAGCGGUGAAAUGCGUAGAGAUGAGGAGGAACACCAGUGGCGAAGGCGGCCACCUGGACAGUAACUGACGCUGAGGCGCGAAAGUGUGGGGAGCAAACAGGAUUAGAAACCCGUGUAGU